Molecule: long non-coding RNA, 860 nt
Filed under: Rosa chinensis
Lineage: Eukaryota; Viridiplantae; Streptophyta; Magnoliopsida; Rosales; Rosaceae
Description: sRNA RchiOBHm_Chr2g0135061
Source: RNAcentral
GAAACAACAGAACCCUAUCUUUUCUCCAUCUCUUUGCCGUCAUUUUCAUUAUCACUCCACAUCUCUUCAUCUCCUCCUUCCUCUUCUUCAAUUCGUGGAUUCUCGCCGGCCUCACCUCCUUCAAUUCGUGAGUUUCAUCUCUUUGCCGUCAUUAUCGUUAUUAUUCCACAUCUCCUCCUUCCUCUUCUUCAAUUCGUGGAUUCUCUCUACAAUUUGGGUAUUCUGGGUUAUGCUUCUUCUCUAAAGAUAAUCUAUCAAACAGAACUCUAUUCCUCUGAUUCCUCCAUAGCUGCACAAAAAGGAGUAAGGAGAAUUCUUGUACAUCUCAACAUUGGAUAAUUCGAUCCUCAUCGAACUUCUCCUCCUUCUCUCUCUGCUAUCACUAAAAGAUGUAGGAACAGGAUCUAGUUGAAUGGGCCAAACCAUACCUUGCCAGCAAAUACCUCACAGAACAAAGCAUAAGGGAUGAUUUGGAAUCACUUGGUUAUGUGGUUAUGUAUUUCCUAAGAGGAAGGUAAAACUUUCCAGGUGAUGACAAACCAAGAAGUUGUGGAUGCCAUAAAAAAUAUAAAGGAUUCUCGGGCAGCAGCAAAGCACCUUACUGAAGAGCCAGUCAAUAAGAAGAGCUCGGACGAUAUUUCCUGUGUAGUUGUAAGAUUUCGGUGAAUGUAUAAUUUCUGUCUGGCAUGUUUGUUGUCUGAUUGUACCUCGUUUAACAAUGUCUCAGAUAUGUUUUUAUAAAACACCUAUGGAAUUGAAGUGUGCUUCAUCAGUGUGGUAUUCCCUUACAUGUUGUACACUGACAAUCAAGAGGUUUUUAUUUUGCAAUAGUUUGCCCAAACUUAACCAUAAAAACUGAU